This 350-nucleotide unclassified non-coding RNA is filed under the name Hevea brasiliensis (rubber tree). The record is from RNAcentral. Lineage: Eukaryota; Viridiplantae; Streptophyta; Magnoliopsida; Malpighiales; Euphorbiaceae.
AAAAAAAAAAAAAAAUAAAUAAAAGAAUAGUAUGGUGAUUUGUCUUGAAAAUUAAGUGGAGUUAGUGGGCUUUUGACAGUAUUCCCUGGUGGAUGUCCUGUGGAGGGAAUAGAUUGGAAUGGGAGAUAGGACGUCUCGGUGAAUCUUAGCAGUGUAUUUGUGUAGUUGUUAGGAUGAUGCAUUUUUUUUCUCCUUUUUUUUUUUUAGUUCAAUUCUGUCUCCUUGUUUUUUCUACGUUUCAAGACAGACUUUGAUUUGUGGUUUUGCAAACCUCACAGUACUAGUAAAUAAUAAAAAUGGAGUGAUUAGAAUAUGUAUUUAUAUAAAAAUCGUGCAUUAUCUUUGUUGUG